GGGCAGAUGGUGCAACCAACUUGAAUGAUUGGCUUUGGCCCCAUGGAAACAGAGCCAUGACUAAUCUCAAUUGUCUGGUAACAGUUAAGCUUAUAAUGAAUGCUAUAAAUCAAAUGUCUGCAUCAAAAUCCUCAAAUCUUCAAAUUGUGAUGCUAUCAAAGAAAAGCAUACAUGCCAUACAUAUAUUAUCCACAUUAAAUUGCUC
Molecule: long non-coding RNA, 205 nt
Filed under: Prunus persica (peach)
Lineage: Eukaryota; Viridiplantae; Streptophyta; Magnoliopsida; Rosales; Rosaceae
Description: long non-coding RNA (PPER_LNC007439)
Source: RNAcentral